AUCAGUGUUUAAUUUUUUUCAAUUUUUUUUUUGUCAGUUAAUUGCUACGUAUCUUAGUUAGGCUGUCAGAAGAUAAACGUAAGUAUGCAGCAAAACUAUUAAUAGUAGGUUGUGAUUGCCCCUUUACAAUUCACGAAGAGUAUUGGUGCAAUGGACUUAGCAUCGCAGGAAAAAUGCCACUGGUAACCAAUCUUGAUUUGGUAAAUUACCUGCUAUGUUCCAAGUCUCCAUACACGCAUGAAGAUUUAAAGGCUUACAAGGGCCUUGAGACCUACAAGAGAUUUAUCGAUGGGGGAAUUGGAUCAUUUUGUGCAAUCAGUCUUUUAAACAAAAAUUUGUUGAUGAAAGCGAAGGUUAUUACUCUUCAUUUGUUUAUUUGUAACAUUACUAUAACAUAUAACUUUUUGAUGUCAUAACGUAUAAAUAAAUUAUACUUCAUAAUUUGUA
This 447-nucleotide long non-coding RNA is filed under the name Daphnia magna. Its description in RNAcentral is "uncharacterized LOC123472172". The record is from RNAcentral. Lineage: Eukaryota; Metazoa; Arthropoda; Branchiopoda; Diplostraca; Daphniidae.